This 21-nucleotide non-coding RNA is filed under the name Caenorhabditis elegans. Lineage: Eukaryota; Metazoa; Nematoda; Chromadorea; Rhabditida; Rhabditidae. The record is from RNAcentral.
UAUUACAAUAAAAUUUUAAAA